GUUUCAAAAGCGGUCAGUAUAAGCCUCAGUAAACGGCGGCCGUAACUAUAACGGUCCUAAGGUAGCGAAAUUCCUUGUCGGAUAAGUUCCGACCCGCACGAAUGGCGUAACGACUUCCCUACUGUCUCCAGCACAAGCUCCGUGAAAUUGAAUUCCCCGUGAAGAUGCGGGGUACCUGCGGUAAGACGGAAAGACCCCGUGCACCUUAACUAUAGCUUUAUAUUGAUGUUACUUGGCGACUGUGUAGCGUAGGUGGGAGGUGAUGAAUGCUGGGCGCUAGCUCGGCUGGAGCUGACAAUGAAACACCACUCUGGCGGCGGGUGGUGUCUUACUGCGAUUGUGUCAUCCGCAAUCGAGGACAGUGUAUGGUGGGUAGUUUGACUGGGGCGGUCGCCUCCUAAAGAGUAACGGAGGCGUGCAAAGGUAAACUCAAGACGGUUGGAAACCGUCUGUAGAGCGUAAUGGUACAAGUUUGCCUGACUGUGAGACGUACAUGUCAAGCAGAGACGAAAGUCGGCCAUAGUGAUCCGGUGGUUCUGUGUGGAAGGGCCAUCGCUUAACGGAUAAAAGGUACGCCGGGGAUAACAGGCUAAUAACUCCUGAGAGCUCUUAUCGACGGAGUUGUUUGGCACCUCGAUGUCGACUCAUCGCAUCCUGGGGCUGAAGCAGGUCCCAAGGGUAUGGCUGUUCGCCAUUUAAAGCGGUACGUGAGUUGGGUUCAGAACGUCGCGAGACAGUUCGGUCCCUAUCUACCGUGGGUGGAAGAGCGUUGACGGGGGCUGUCUCUAGUACGAGAGGACCGAGAUGGACGUACCUCUGGUGUUCCUGUUGUUCCGCCAGGAGCAUAGCAGGGUAGCUACGUACGGAAUAGAUAACUGCUGAAAGCAUCUAAGCGGGAAGCUAGCCCGAAGACUAACGCUCUAUUUUAGAGUCGUGAUAGACUAUCACGUUGAUAGGCCAGAGGUGUAAGUGUGGUAACACAUUUCAGCUUACUGGUACUAAUUUCUCGAAAGUUCACAAG
RNAcentral lists this ribosomal RNA (1021 nucleotides) under Candidatus Hodgkinia cicadicola. Its description in RNAcentral is "bacterial LSU rRNA". It matches the Rfam family "Bacterial large subunit ribosomal RNA", at positions 1895 to 2925 of the family's 2925-position model. The record is from RNAcentral. Lineage: Bacteria; Pseudomonadati; Pseudomonadota; Alphaproteobacteria; Hyphomicrobiales.